GACGAACGCUGGCGGCGUGCCUAAUACAUGCAAGUAGAACGCUGAAGGAGGAGCUUGCUUCUCUGGAUGAGUUGCGAACGGGUGAGUAACGCGUAGGUAACCUGCCUGGUAGCGGGGGAUAACUAUUGGAAACGAUAGCUAAUACCGCAUAAUAGUAGAUGUUGCAUGACAUUUGCUUAAAAGGUGCAAUUGCAUCACUACCAGAUGGACCUGCGUUGUAUUAGCUAGUUGGUGGGGUAACGGCUCACCAAGGCGACGAUACAGAGCCGACCUGAGAGGGGGGACGGCCAACCUGGGACUGGAGCACGGCCCAGGAUUCUACGGGAGGCAGCAGUAGGGAAUCUUUGGCAAUGGACGGAAGGCUGACCGAGCAACGCCGCGGGAGGGAAGAAGGGUUUCGGAUCGUAAAGCUCUGUUGUAAGAGAAGAAAGAGUGUGAGAGUGGAAAGUUCACACUGUGACGGUAUCUUACCAGAAAGGGACGGCUAACUACGUG
This 495-nucleotide ribosomal RNA is filed under the name uncultured bacterium. RNAcentral's name for it is "partial 16S ribosomal RNA". It matches the Rfam family "Bacterial small subunit ribosomal RNA", at positions 28 to 507 of the family's 1533-position model. The record is from RNAcentral.